AGUUCUUAAAAUUGUGGCGGUUCCAAUUGUUAAAAAUAGGCGCUUAUUUUGAAUCUUCCCAAAUUACUCUGGACAAAAUUACUCUGAUCUCGCCCUCUCUUUCACUCCGUCUCGCGUAGCCUUCCUCCCGACUGCACCCAGUCAGCCUCCUCCUCAUCCUUCCUCCUCACCCUCUCCCGUAGCCUUCCUCCUCGCCUUCCGAACAACCUCCAAGCCCCAACAGUUCUCCCACGACGACGAGGACUCCGAUUCCGAUUGCGUCGAGAUUAAACACGAACUAGAGGACGACGCCACCGAUUGCGUCGUUAUUAAGAACAAAUUGGAGGACGACGAUGCGGACGAGGUUUAAUGGAAAAUAAAUGGUAUUUGCACAUUGCAAUCUGACCAAGUUCUUCCGCCGCUUUCACCCCCUUCGCUCUCUCUCUCUCUUCGAUAGCUUUGAGAGAAGAAGACUAAAAAGGCAUUUUCAGCUUGAAGAAUCUCUCUCUAUCCUUGUGGGAUUGUAUUUCUGCAAAUCUUAGUUAGGUUUAUGGAUAUGAGAUACAAAAUUGGACCGUGGGAAUCAGCCAAGAAAGUCGUCGUAUCUCCUGCAAUCUUUUCGAAGUAUCAGCCGUCGGAUCGAUUAACGCCUUGGUGUGUUCUUCCCAGAUAACACCCAGUUCUCGGAUUUCAUAUUUAUAUAUAAAGGAAGUUUUAUAUUCUAUAUAUGUUCAUUAGGUGGAUGUCAAGGGAUCGAGCUAAGUCUGGUGGUUGGGCUGCCUUUGACCUCAAGUAGCGCCAGAAACAAGGCCUUGAGCCUUAAGUUGACAAGGAUCGUUUCCCACCUAUACCGACCAAUCUAACUUCUCUACAUCCUCGUGCAAACUUACCGAGGAAUAAUGACCUUCUGGGCAGGCCUUUUUCAACUCUACAUCUCCCAUCUGUAGAUUGUCCAACUUUGGCAGAGAAUAGGGUUGGGAAAAGGCCUUUAUUAGAUGGCGAUUCCAGUGGGAAACAGUACACUUCCGUGGAAGAUAAUACAUCUUCCAUGAAGAAGAUCAUGUAUUUUACCCUUGGGCUGACGAUUUCUUGAUUGAGGAUAUUAUGGUUGGUAUUGAUAAUGAUAUGGAUAAGGCCUCAAUUUUAUUGAAACAAUGGUUUCCCCUAGCAGCUGUGAAGAGAAUAACCGAACUAGCAUUUCAAAAAACAACUCCAGUUUAAAUGGACCGCCAUAAUUUUUAGAUUAAGUUCCUUGACUAGAAACAACUUUUAUUAAUUUUUAUAGAUUUUAGUUUUGUUGUUAAAUGACUCAUUGACUUGUGUGUUUCUGUUGUAGGAGCUUUGGUCUAUGCUAGAGUUUAUGAGCUCGUAUUGCAAAAACUUCAGAGGUUAACUCGAACAGUAUUCUUAAGGUUCUUCCUGGCAGAUCUCCAACUAUUUUGUUUAGUUUCGUAUGAUUGCAAAUCAUCCUUUACUAGUAAGGCGUAUUUACAGUGAUGAGGAUGUUGUUCGUUUUGCCAGAAAGUUACCUUAGACAAAGUAGUUGGGGAACUUAAGAAUUAUAGUGACUUCUCUAUCCAUUGGCUUUUGCUGUAUUAUGGUGUCUCUGAUAAGAAAUGAUUGCUUCAAGACAAAUAUGCAUUGCUUUCUUCAAAAUCUCAGCUAGCUGGGCAUCGUGUUUCAGCCAAUGGACGUCAAUGCUUGAUAUUUUGGAGUGGACUUUGUGUUACAUACAGACGACUUGAUGGAAGCACUCAGGUGACAGAAUGAUAGACGAUAAUUGAUACAUUCAAUAAUGGCACUUCUAUAUUUGCUUGCUUGCUGUCCACAAGAGCUGGAGAACAGGGUUUGAACUUGGUUGGAGCUGAUACCGUAGUUAUUCAUGAUAUGGAUUUCAACCCGCAAAUUGAUCGACAGGCAGAAGAUCAUUGUCAUUGCAUCGGCCAAGUGAAGGUUGUUACCAUAUACAGGCUAGUCACUAAGGGUACAAUUGAUGAAAAUGUCUACGAGAUUGCGGAAAGGAAGUAGUGCUAGAUGCUGCAGUCCUGGAAUUUGGCGUGGAGAUGGAUAAUAAAGGUGACACAUCCACCAUGAGAGAGAUAUUAUCGAAACUUUUUCUUGGUUAAAGAUUUUAGAAAACUUACAGUUGAUCUGCCGAUAGAGAAACUGCAAUUGGAAACCCUUGUAAUUUAGUUUUUGUAUUUUUCAAGUCACACCUUUGACCUCCCAACUGAUACCCAAUAGCUUGAUGUAUCAAACCUAGAAGACUACUUCUUGUAGUUUUUUUUUUGUUCGAACAUCUUGUAUGUAUAUUUUUAUAUAUAUUAUAAUUAAAUACUUUUUCUU
Molecule: non-coding RNA, 2325 nt
Organism: Malus domestica (apple)
Lineage: Eukaryota; Viridiplantae; Streptophyta; Magnoliopsida; Rosales; Rosaceae
Source: RefSeq, a predicted model, not a curated record